This is a small nuclear RNA of Morone saxatilis (striped sea-bass), 104 nucleotides long. The record is from RefSeq and is a predicted model, not a curated record. NCBI's taxonomy places the organism in Eukaryota, Metazoa, Chordata, Actinopteri, Moronidae.
UGGUAGCACAUACCAGUAUACUAAAAUUGGAACGAUACAGAGAAGAUUAGCAUGGCCCCUGGCGCAAGGAUGACACACAAAUUUGUGAAGCCUUCCUCAUUUUU